This is an RNA transcript of Ipomoea nil (Japanese morning glory), 1143 nucleotides long. It is a transcript of the gene named inorganic pyrophosphatase 2-like, with no coding region annotated. The transcript has 5 exons. The record is from RefSeq and is a predicted model, not a curated record. Lineage: Eukaryota; Viridiplantae; Streptophyta; Magnoliopsida; Solanales; Convolvulaceae.
UAUCCCUCAUUUCCAAGGUUUCUCUCCACCUAAAACACGUAACCCUGUUCCUUCUUCCUCUGGUCCCUUCCAACCUUCCCCCAAAACUAAAGAAAAAAAAAAUGGCUGGAACCGUGGUCGUGGUUUUUGAUCUCGACAAGACCAUUAUCGACUUGGACAGCGAUAACUGGCUUGUGGAUGAGUUGGGUUUCACUGAUCUCUUCAACCACCUCCUUCCUACCAUGCCAUGGAACUCUGUCAUGGACAAGAUGAUGAAUGAGAUCCACGCGAAGGGGAAGAAGAUUGAGGACAUUGAAGAGGUUCUCAGACGGACUCCGAUUCAUCCCCGGAUAGUUCCUGCCAUUAAAUCAGCUUAUGCUUUAGGGUGUGAAUUGAGGAUAGUGAGCGAUGCAAACCUGUUCUACAUAGAAACAAUCUUGAAACACCACGGCAUAAGCGAAUGCUUCUCGGAAAUCUACUCAAACCCGGGCUAUGUGGACGAGGAAGGCAGGCUAAGAAUCCGCCCGUACCAUGAUUUCCACUCUUCUCCCCACGGCUGCAACAAUAUUAAUGUUUGCCCUCCCAACAUGUGCAAGGGUAAGAUUAUAGAAAUGAUUGAAGGCUCCUUGGGUAAGGAAGGGAAGAAAAGAAUGAUCUACCUUGGUGAUGGGGCUGGUGAUUUCUGCCCCAGCCUGAAGCUGAAAGAGGGAGACUUUAUGAUGCCAAGGAAAGAUUUCCCAGUGUGGAAAUUGAUAACCGAAAACCGGAUGCUCUUAAAGGCUGAGAUUCAUGAAUGGAGUGACGGUGAAGAGCUCGAGCGCGUCCUGCUUCAUCUCAUUAACAAGAUAAUCUGCACAGAAGAAGAAGAAGAGAGCCAAUUCUUACCUGCAGCUGAAACCAAGUUCCAGCAGACACCUCACGAGGCCUUACCUAAAGCUAUCCCUGUGCCUUUUUAGUACAGUGCAGGUAGGCCGGCCGGCCGGCCGUCAAAUUAAAAUUAAAGUUACUAGCUAGCUAGUUCGCCCUGAUGGACCAAUGUUGCAAGUAGUCAACGUGCGUGUAGGUGACAAACCUUAAAAUGGGGCGUUUGCUUCAAGUUAUAUACUAUAACUAAAGUUAUAUUUACUUGGAAAUAUAUGAUUCACAUGUUUGGUUUAAAUUAUG